Molecule: ribosomal RNA, 301 nt
Filed under: uncultured bacterium
Lineage: Bacteria
Description: partial 16S ribosomal RNA
Rfam family: Bacterial small subunit ribosomal RNA
Source: RNAcentral
CAGCAGCCGCGGUAAGACAGAGGUCCCGAGCGUUGUUCGGAUUCAUUGGGCGUAAAGGGUGUGUAGGAGGCCAGGUAAGUCAGGUGUGAAAUCUCAGAGCUUAACUCUGAAACUGCGCUUGAUACUGCUUGGCUAGAGGAUCGGAGGGGGUAACGGAAUUUAUGGUGUAGCAGUGAAAUGCGUAGAUAUCAUAAGGAACACCGGUGGCGAAGGCGGUUACCUGGAAGAUUCCUGACUCUGAAACACGAAAGCCAGGGGAGCAAACGGGAUUAGAUACCCCUGUAGUCCCUGUCUCUUAUAC